UACGGAGGGUGCAAGCGUUACUCGGAAUCACUGGGCGUAAAGCGCGCGCAGGCGGGCUGAUAAGUUGGAUGUGAAAGCCUACGGCUCAACCGUAGAACUGCAUCCAAAACUGUCAGUCUAGAGUCUGGGAGGGGAAGAUGGAAUUAGUUGUGUAGGGGUAAAAUCCGUAGAGAUAACUAGGAAUACCAAAAGCGAAGGCGAUCUUCUGGAACAGUACUGACGCUGAGGCGCGAAAGCGUGGGGAGCAAACAGGAUUAGAUACCCUGGUAGUCCACGCCCUAAACGAUGAAUGUUAGUCGUCGGAGGCCUAGUGUCUUCGGUGAUGCAGCUAACGCAUUAAACAUUCCGCCUGGGGAGUACGGUCGCAAGAUUAAAACUCAAAGGAAUAGACGGGGACCCGCACAAGUGGCGGAGCAUGUGGUUUAAUUCGAAGAUACGCGAAGAACCUUACCUAGCCUUGACAUAUAUUAGAACUCUGCAGAGAUGCGGAGGUGCCUUCGGGAGCUUUUAUACAGGUGCUGCACGGCUGUCGUCAGCUCGUGUCGUGAGAUGUUGGGUUAAGUCCCGCAACGAGCGCAACCCUCGUCACUAGUUACUAACGGUUCGGCCGAGGACUCUAGUGAGACUGCCUUCGCAAGGAGGAGGAAGGUGAGGACGACGUCAAGUCAUCAUGGCCCUUACGGCUAGGGCAACACACGUGCUACAAUGGGCAGGACAAUGAGACGCGAUACCGCGAGGUGGAGCAAAUCUAUAAACCUGUUCUCAGUUCGGAUUGUAGUCUGCAACUCGACUACAUGAAGCUGGAAUCACUAGUAAUCGUAGAUCAGCUAUGCUACGGUGAAUACGUUCCCGGGUC
This 856-nucleotide ribosomal RNA is filed under the name uncultured bacterium. RNAcentral describes it as "bacterial SSU rRNA". It matches the Rfam family "Bacterial small subunit ribosomal RNA", at positions 524 to 1380 of the family's 1533-position model. The record is from RNAcentral.